Zingiber officinale is the source of this 337-nucleotide long non-coding RNA. RefSeq lists it as uncharacterized. Lineage: Eukaryota; Viridiplantae; Streptophyta; Magnoliopsida; Zingiberales; Zingiberaceae. The transcript has 3 exons. The record is from RefSeq and is a predicted model, not a curated record.
UUUGCGGAAUAAAAUAAAUCAAGCUUAUAAUUCUGGAGACUCACGUGCAAUAUAUGCAGGAGGAUCUAUAAAUAUCGAGGAGCAUUCACGUAGAUUGUCUAGGGAUUUGGGAAAAGAGCCCGAUUUUAUAGACACUUUCGUCCGCACUUUUCAAAAAAAAAGACAAGACUUGGAGUGGAGAUAGAGCUAGAAUAAUUAAGGAGAGAUAUGAUGAGCUAUCAUUAUCUCAAAGAAGUUCAGGUGAUGGUGAUAAUAUUGAGGGAUCUGAGCCGUCUGUUACUAAUAAUUUAGAUUUAUGGUUAGAGGCCAGUGGGGGAGUCAAAGGGGGAAGGAUAAU